UUAACUGCUUCCCGUCUCUCU
RNAcentral lists this non-coding RNA (21 nucleotides) under Caenorhabditis elegans. The record is from RNAcentral. Lineage: Eukaryota; Metazoa; Nematoda; Chromadorea; Rhabditida; Rhabditidae.